Molecule: long non-coding RNA, 938 nt
Filed under: Gossypium barbadense (sea-island cotton)
Lineage: Eukaryota; Viridiplantae; Streptophyta; Magnoliopsida; Malvales; Malvaceae
Description: long non-coding RNA (GBAR_LNC017296)
Source: RNAcentral
CGUCGUUGAAGCUAUACGCCCCUGACAGCGCUCCAGCUCUCGCUAUCAAAGCAACCAUCGAGAAAACCGAGAGACGGUUUGACAACUAUGGGAAGUACGGGCUGUUGUGUGGGUCUGAUGGGUUGCCUCAUUUGAUAGUGAGCGGUGAUCAGAGGCACUGGGGUGAGUUCAUCACGCCUGGUCUCUUGUUCUUGUACAUCGCUGGAUGGAUCGGGUGGGUUGGAAGGAGCUACCUCAUUGCUAUUAGCGAUGAUAAGAAGCCUGCCAUGAAGGAGAUCAUCAUUGACGUGCCUUUGGCUACCGGUCUUAUCUUUAGAGGCUUUAUUUGGCCUGUCGCUGCUUACAGAGAGCUUAUCAAUGGUGACCUUGUUGUCAAGGACGUUUAAUCUCCUCAGGUCCUUCUUCUCUUUCUCUUCAAAAAAAUUCCCCUUUUUUUUUGUUUUUUUUAUACAGUAAUUCAAGCAUGUUUUUGCCUUAUAGUGUAAGGGUUAACAUGUGUUGGCCAUAUUCCAUCUAAUUAUGUUGAACCUUACUAUUCUAAAGUAGUAAAUUAGUAAUCUGAAAUAGUGUCAUAAAACCUUGCAAUCUUAUAUUCCGAAUCCAAUUUUCCAACCCAAAAUUCGGUAUUUCAUUUAUUAAUCAUGUUAGCAACAAUUUUUUUAUUUAAAAAAUAUCACAUUAAACUUCAAUUAUUGAAUCAAAUAAUAGAUUCUUGAGAUUAAAAGUAGAAGUAGUAAUUUCAAAUGUGUAGAAGGUAAAGGGAUCGAGAGUAAAUUAUACCACCAUACAUCUAAGCUUAUAUGAUUAUAACUCGUCUUAUUGUCGUUGUAAUAUUCUAAAUUUUAAAAGGAAGGGUGAAAUUAAUGAAGAAAGGAAAUAGAAGAACAUACAAAUUGCCUUCAUUUUCUUGGUGUAUUAAUUUUGGUUUUUAUUUUUAC